AACGAACGCUGGCGGCAUGCCUAACACAUGCAAGUCGAACGAGACCUUCGGGUCUAGUGGCGCACGGGUGCGUAACGCGUGGGAACCUGCCCUUAGGUUCGGAAUAACUCCCCGAAAGGGGUGCUAAUACCGGAUAAUGUCUUCGGACCAAAGAUUUAUCGCCUUUGGAUGGGCCCGCGUUGGAUUAGCUAGUUGGUAGGGUAAAAGCCUACCAAGGCGACGAUCCAUAGCUGGUCUGAGAGGAUGAUCAGCCACACUGGGACUGAGACACGGCCCAGACUCCUACGGGAUGCAGCAGUGGGGAAUAUUGGACAGCGGGCGGAAGCCUGAUCCAGCAAGGCCGCGUGAGUGAUGAAGGCCUUAGAGUUGUAAAGCUCUUUUACCCGGGAUGAUAAUGACAGUACCGGGAGAAUAAGCCCCGGCUAACUCCGUG
RNAcentral lists this ribosomal RNA (433 nucleotides) under uncultured bacterium. Its description in RNAcentral is "partial 16S ribosomal RNA". It matches the Rfam family "Bacterial small subunit ribosomal RNA", at positions 29 to 507 of the family's 1533-position model. The record is from RNAcentral.